CUCUCAUUUCCUUUAAAUUCCUGUGGCUCCACCUGGAAGCACAGGCUGUGGGCCUGGAAGUGAUACCUAAUUUGCAGAGGGUCCUGCAGGCCGGGCUCAGGCAGAGAUCCCGGAAUUGUAGGACUGCGCAUCUGGAAGGGGGGAGGAGGGGGCAGCCCUGCAGGGAUCUUUGGGAUGGAUCGCUCAGACUAAGAAACUGAGGUCUAGAGAGGAUCGAUGAAGACAAAGGACCUCAACAUUGUCUUCCAGCAAGGCAGUCAGAGAUGAGGUCUGUUUUAUCUUAUUUGGCCCUGGAGAUGGACUCUACCACUGAGCUGCACUGCCAACCCCUGGGAUCUGUUUUGGAGUCAUUUUAAGGAGGCCUAUAGGCACCACCUGCAAGCUGUUCAUCUAUCCUCUGAGUUGGAAGAGGAAAGGAAGACCUUGCCAAGCCCUCCAAACCUGCUUAUAUUCUCUGUCUGGGGGAGUCUGUGCUUUGUCACAGAAUGGACUCCUGGCUUCUCCAUCCU
Molecule: long non-coding RNA, 509 nt
Filed under: Heterocephalus glaber (naked mole-rat)
Lineage: Eukaryota; Metazoa; Chordata; Mammalia; Rodentia; Bathyergidae
Description: lncRNA (ENSHGLG00100051904.1)
Source: RNAcentral